Molecule: long non-coding RNA, 8977 nt
Filed under: Malus domestica (apple)
Lineage: Eukaryota; Viridiplantae; Streptophyta; Magnoliopsida; Rosales; Rosaceae
Description: long non-coding RNA (MDOM_LNC011017)
Source: RNAcentral
ACGAGUCUGGAGGUUGAGGCCCUUGAGGAUACUCGGCAAGUCUUGUGACAGGGAAGCUUGGGCUUGGGCUUGGGCCAGCACGUCCGUUGAGUCUUGGGACUCUUGAGCUUGGAUGAUCUAAUAUCACAAAACAAUAAAAAAAGAAUCGUUAUUGGCACUUUAAAAUUCACAUUUUACACUUCUAACCUUCUAUAUUUAGUAAGAAAAAUACACUUGUGAGGAGUGUAGAAUGAGAUUUUUAAUGUGCCAACAACACUUCCCUAAAAAAAUUAUUAAAAAAACAUUAAAAGACAAAAAAAUAAUCAAGUUGAGCAUGUAAGUUUUUUGGAGUUACCUCUGGGGCCGAUGCCGGAGAAGAACGAAGGCAGGUGGAGCGGCUGUUUUGCAUGUCAUACCAGUAUCUCGAUGCCUUCUAGCGGUUAAGGUGGGAGUUUGUUGGGGACUAGGAGUCCAUUUCUUAUUUUGGAAACGGAGGAGGAUGGAGUGUCACCGGUUGGCAGUAGGGGUAGUUGAUGCAUGGUGAUCACUUUCCUAUUUGAACUGAAAGGGAUAUUGGAGUGAGGGCUUUAUAGGGGUUUACAUAAACUAUCGGGGCAACCAAUUCAGUUACAUUGGGGUCAGAGGGGGGCGUUGGGGGUGUGCAAAAGGUGCAGUGGCACAUGAUCCUGAAUUUUUGAGGGUCCCAAAAUUUAUUACUCUCCUAUAUAUUACAUGUAAGUAUAAAUUUUCUAAUUAAAAGGUUUUUAGAAAAUUAUCAUUAUAUGAUUUUAUAUGUAUUACAAUUGAUUAACUAGAGCUUAAACUUAAUAUAUUAAUUUUCUACUUUUUUCUAGCAAAAAAAUAACAUUGUGUAUUACUUUCUUUCACUUUUCUUUAGCAAUAAAAAACCGAUUUGUGUAUUAUUUUCUUUCACAAACACAAGCAUAUUUUCAUAUCUCUCUUUCAGUUGUGUUCCAUUUUUUAUGGGCGAACCCGAAAUCAUAAGUUCAUGGCAAUUGAACAUUUUUCAAUUAGUAAGAGUGAAAUGUUGAUUUUUAUUAAAUUCGCACAGAGCCCCUAAAAUGUUAGAGACGGCCUUGAUUGGCGCCAAUUUCUGUUACUUGGAGGCCUAUUUGGUUCUGUUAGUUGAAGAUCUGUUUGGUUAGUGGAUUAGUGGGAGAGCCCGUGUUUGAUUACUGCUCCACCUGCAAUGUUUACUAUUGAUCAUAUGCUCCUAACCCCAAGUGAAAAUGCUCUUAGUGACCUGCUCAACGAUAGGACUUCAUUCACCAACUUAUGCCAGUUUGCCAAUUUUGUUGAGUUUCGAAUCAUUCCUCCCGACUUUGACACGAAAAACGAAAUUUAAAUCAACAAACUGUGGCAGCAAAUGGCUGCCGGGACCAAAAAUAAAAACAUUGGGAACCAAGCAGAUACAAAUGAGAGAGGGUACUUUUAACAUAGAAAAUGAGUCGAAAAUCCACCAGGGCACCUACCGACUUCACAAUCAUUGACAGGGUACUUUCAUUAUGGGUUUGAUGAUACAUGAGAUUGUGUAAAACAGUCGGAAACUUAGAGGUAGCACUUGCUUGUGUUGGUUUGAAUUUCGAAACUCCAAUCUAUCUCAGCAUGAGAAAGAUUACAACUUUCAAAUACCCUCACAAAAGACAUUGCUAGCCACAAAAAUAUAGGAUUAAUUGGAAGAAAAGAACACAAUUCAAAAGCAAUCAAGGAUAUAAGCAAAAGCAAUGAAUAAGCAUUUCCACAAGAACACAAAUGCUUCAAUUCUCUUCAGUAAAUUAAUAAUCCACAUCUGGCUAGGAUGGUUAAAUUCUAGUGUUAGAAAACGUACAGAGAGAUUCUCCUGUCUACUACGAUUGUUCAUUAUGGAUGCAAAUUUCCGCCUUCUUCUUCUUAGACAAAAUUGCACCUACAAAACAAUUAACACCUUAGAUCAAGGCCAAGAUCCUCACGCGCCCACAAUGAAUGGGGGGGCUUUAACCGAAAAACCUCUGAUGCCAAAGUUAGAAUUUAGAGAGAAAGAGUGUUUAGAGAAUUUUGGGAUUUUUGCCAAAGUGUUGGAAUUGGCUUUUUGGUGAGAAUGAGAGUAUAUUUAUAGGGAUAAGAGGUGGCUAGGGUUUUUUGGGUUUAAUUUAGAUUUAAUUAGGAGUUACAAAAUAAUUAGCCAAUAACUCCCUAAUUAACUUGGCUAAUUAUUUGUCAUACAAAGGAAAAAAGGUAGAAGGAAAGGCUGAUUUCUUUUGGGGAUGAAAGUUAACCAGCCUUUUUGUGGGAGUUAGGGUAAAGUGAAUGGUCUAAAUGCUAAUUAAGGGAAUAAUUAGCUAAUUAACCCAUUAAUUAGCUAUUUAUCAUUAUUUUAGAAUGAAUGUUUUAGGAAUUAUGGAAUAAGUAUAGUAUUUAGCUAAUUGAUUAGCUAAAUAAUGAAAUAGGAAAUAUAUGAAUAAAUUAGGUUUUAAGUUGAUACCUAUUUUGGGCACUUUUGACUUGGUUGAGGGAUAAUUGCCCGCUGCUUGCGCGUAGGAAUCCUGGUAUGCCCCAAGGGUAGUUUUGUCUUCUUAUGUCAAAAAUCCACGUGUCGCCUUAUGAAUAUUUUUAGCUCCACAAAUGCCCCCACACAUGUUGGGCUGCUCGUAAAAAAGGGCAGCAGGUGUAGAGAUCUUCUUGCUUUAGGAAACUUAGGACUGCUUCCUAUUUUGAUGUAGAUUUUCUCUUUAAUAGGAAAUUAGAUCCUUCUAGGAAAGGGAAAUAAAUUUCUCUCAAAGCCUAUUUAAGUCCACCUUAAGUGGGUUAUUAAAUCAACUUUGGAGAGCGAUUUAUUCUCCCUACAAGAGAGAGAUAGCUUAGAGGAUAUUUGUUCCCCCUCCUCUAGCAAUUUUCUACAUCUUGCCCGUGCAAAGGACCGUCUUUCGUUGCUUUCUUCGUCUUUUUCGUGCCGCACUGAGGUAAGAAAAAAUUAAUUUUCCUUAUCUUCUUCUUGGAUGGUGCUACCUCGGGGCAGCCGUCGGGGUGGUGCGGCAUGUCGGCUCGGCAUAGGCCGAGGAGGUAUUGUGGCAAGGACCACUGCUUUAAGCUGCUCGACUUGGCUAGAACCAAGGGCAGCUUGUUUGGCUGGGGCCACGGAUUGUGACGCUGUGGCGCAGUGCUAGGCAAGUCACAUGGCUCAUGUCCUUUUGGGCUUUUGGACAUGACGCGAGCUAGGCAAGUGAUUGAAAGAAAUGAAGAGGUUGCGAGCCUCAUGAGCUACUGGAAUGUUGGGUUGAACUCACCUGCUAGGUACCACGAAUGGCUUUGGCUACUUUAACUCUCUUCGUCAGGAGAAACGUGGGCUGUUUCCAAAAUAAGAGGUGAAUAGGAUCAAGGCGGAUGCAUUGGCUUGUCCAAUCACCGUUGUGGAUCCUGCUGCAAGUGAAGGUGGGAAAAGGGAUCUUCCCUGCCUGCUCAAGAGAUGCCGGCUGAGAAAAAACCAAAGACUUCUUUCGCUGCUUAUGCAAAGGAUGAAAAGUUAAGUGCUGCUUAUAAUCAGGUGAUCCACUUCAAGAGAAUCAUCGAUAGGCUUAAACCCCAAGUGUUGGAACUUCAAGGUGUACUGAAGAUCAACGAAAGUUUGAAGAAAGAAGUGGAUGAGAUGCAGCGCGUCCAUGUUGGUAUUGGUGAAGUAGUUGGAGAAGUUGGUGCCCAGGCUGGAGCAGUCGAGGGUGAUGCCGCUGCUAAGAGCUUUGCGGCUACUGAAGGUGUGGCGACCGAAUAGUCGUGGGAUGUCCAGGCUGCUAAAGUGUAGUCAUCUAGGUAACCUUUAAGAUUUUCUUUGUUUUUCCUUAUAGCUCUUGUUUUGCUUGAACUCAUUCGGCCUUUGCUAGUUGUUUAUAAACAUGUUUUCCUUAGCUUUUCUUCAUUUUUGCUUCUUUUGUUCAUGCCCUAACCUUUAGACUUGAUAGACCAGUGGCAAGUAUGCUACUUUUUUAUAAGCAAACAAGCUCGCGUAGCCUAUGCAGCCGUAGGUGUUAGUGUAGAACUUUGCAAAGUUGUUAGCCAUUGGGUUGGCAGCCGGAUGCCUUACUUACAGAAGCAGAAAAGUCUGCGUAACCACUAGGUUGUUAACCUUGACUUUCUCCAAUUCCGUAGGUUGCGUAGCAAGUAUCAUAACACUUUAGGACUUGGUGUAGGUUGUUCCGCGCUUGGCAGAUGUGAACCUUAUCGACUACGUAGCAUGUCGACAGUGGAUAAAACUUCGUAUAUGUGUGCUAGCUUGUUUAACCUUUCACAAGAAUGUGCAGUUGUAUAAGUCUAGUGUGGCUUUACUGCUCGAAGGGCAAGCCGUAGGCAGUUUUCCGGAAUCCGUAGGCUACCUUAGUGCACUCGGUAGCAGCUUUAGGAUUCCUGGACAGCCGUCCAUCGGAUGUACUGCGUAAUGUGCCCUCUCUGUCUCUAGGGCCCGGUUCCCCACGGAUUAGGCCAAGAGACCAAAAAUCCUUUAGUUAGCUAAGCCUUGAAAAAGACUAUUGCGGCUACUUCUAGGAAUCCCAGCGCAAGCCAUCGUGCAUCUAGUUAUACUAGGGCAACCCAGCUCAUCCACGUCUGGAUAUUCGGAGUGUAGAGUUUAUCCUCCCGUUCUUAGAGAGCUGACCCAUGUAGGCGUUGGGGAAUUGGUUUACCCUCUCGCGUUGGAGAGCAAUUAGUUUACCCUCUCGCACUAGAGAGCAUGGUUGGUUCCUCGGAGGGGCGCAAUUCCUGCGGUAAGUCCCUAAGAAUGGCGCAGUCUUCUUUUGAAGUGCAGAAGUGAUCAGUUGUUAUAAGCAUGCAGCCAAGCCAAGUCGUGAUUACUUCUGAAUUCCUCAUUGAAAAACGAGUUAAACGAAUGAGAACUUAGAUGUAAGGUAAGAAUUACAUAACAACUAGAUAAUCCUCGGUUGGUGAGGUAGUGCCCGUCAAGCUGCUUGAGUCUUCAGGCUUUGAUGUAGCGAGAGGUCACACAUGGUACUUCCUCAGAUUGUAGGCGUUUCACUAUUUUUUGAUCUUUUUGUCGUUUUAUGGUGGUGAGGGUGUAAUUGUUCUUGCCACCUACUAUACUGAUCUUGUACGGACUUUCCCAUAUAGGAUCCAUAUUUUUGGAGCCUUUUCUGCUGGCAGUGAUGAAGGUUUUUCUUAUGACCAGAUCUCCGGGCUGGAACUGCCGGAUCUUGGUCCUUUUGUUGUAGCUGGAGAGGAGCUGAUGCUGGUAAGCUGCGAUGCGAGUGAUAGUCUAUUCGUGCCUCUCUUCUGCUAGAUCUAAGCUUGUGGCCAUCUCCUUUCGGUUGCUCAUCUUUUGGUUGUGCGAUAUGCCCAUAGACAUCCUUGGAGUUCGUCUGGCCAUUUUCUUUUCUUAUUGGUGGGGGAUUUCUUGUGGCAGUCGACGAUCAUCUUAGUGGAUGCUUUGGCCCGCCUAUUACCUUGAAGAUAUCUUGGCGUAGACAUGUGCUGCUUGAUGCCAUAUUUUUGGAAGAACUUCGCCAAAUCUUUACCUACGAAUUACGGGCCGUUGUCGGUGACGAUAGAUUAAGGAAUGCCAAAUCGAAAAAUGAUACUCCUUCAUAUGAAACGCUCUAUGUCCAUCUGAACCAUGAUCAUCAUGGGCUCUGCUUCUACUUAUUUGGUGAAGUAAUCGGUUGUCACGAUCAUCAUGCCUUUGCCCCUAGUAGUCUGGCUGGUGAUUAGCUAGGACUCGGAAUGAAUUGAAAGCUUUUUCGCCACCAAGUCUUUUGUCAUUCGAAGGCCUGCUAGUGGGGUUUCGUACUCUGCUUCGUUGUUAGAUGCUUUGAAGCUUAGAGUGAUCGCCUGCUUGAGCAUUGAAACGUUUGAGGUGGCAAGAACCACGGCUGCUCACGAGCCUUCGUAGUUGGAUGCGCCGUCGACAUGCAAACGCCAGAAAUCUCCAUUGAGGGAGCAGGUGUGGCUAAAGUGUGCUCGGCUGCCUUAGGGACGUCGUUGGGCCGAGUUGUUGCGUUCGUCAGAAAACUUUGCAUCUGCCAGGGUCUACGCUUUUAUCGUCGCCAAUUUGGAUUCAGGGAAUAGUGCGUCAUGAUGAUGACUGCGUGCAUUUGAAGGUAAAACUUAAGCUUUUGGGUUACAACAAUUAUCGCCAAAGUUAGCUUUUGAAUUUUUAAUAGCAUCGAGAAGAGCUUUUGAACUGUAGAAUACAGGUAGUCGUGCCCCCAGCUCUUCUCACAUGAUGGUAGAGCUCAUUGGUACUUUAGAUACCGUCAAACAUACGAAUAAGUCUUCCGUUGCUUCUAGAAAGGUGAUGUCGGGUACUUCUUCAAGUCCUUAAAUGUGCAUUAGCGAGCCUCAUCCCAAAGUGCAUGCUUCUCUGCCAAAGCAAAAGAGUCUGCCAGAGUUAGAUCUUCUUUCAUGAUCAAUUUUCCGAAUAGCGGGUGGCCUGCUGGAAGUCCUUUUUGGAAGGCUGUUCUAGCUAUCGAGUCGUUGCAUUCGACUAUUUUUGCCUUCUCUACUUUGAACCUCCACACAUAGUCGCCAAGCGACUCCUUUAGGUUCUUCUUGACGUCGAACAAAUGGUCAAACUUCUUUUUAAUCGAGCAAUAUGAUGAAUAUUCUUUGGUGAAAACCAAAGAAAGUUCGUAGAAAUUCCGGAUGGAUUGUGGCGGCAGGGUGUAGAACCAAUCUUGCGCCUCGCCUUGUACAGUGGUGGCGAAUAUCUUGCACAUGAGAUCAUCGUUGUUUCGAUAAAGGAUCAUUGCGCUUCGAUAGCGCUUUAAGUGUCUAUCCGGGUCUUCAUCCCCUUUGAAAGAUGUGAAAUGUGGCAUGCUAAACUCGCGUAGAGGCUCUGCCUGCUCGAUCUCGUCUGUGAAUGAUGACCUGCUUAUGUUGGUCAUGUUCCGUCGUAGUGCCUCGUCGGUGACCUGGUUACGUUGGAAAUCAUGCAAUCGCUUGGUCAAAAGUCUCUAUACUUCUUCCUGAAUUUACCUUUGUUGGGGUAGCAGAGCUCUCGGCUGCCCCCAGCCAUGACUUGCUUGUCUAGGCUGCUCUUCCAUGUGUUUGGCUAGUCUAUGCCGCGGAUACAGUGCAUGUGGUGCGUUCCUAGCAGGCGAGCGAGUUCUUCGCAGGCUGCUGGUUGAACUUGAGCUGGAUUGAGUGACUGCUUCUCUCCGUCCGUCAUGCUGCCUACUUUGAUAUGAAGUGGAUGAUGCUCCUUGUGGGCUUAGCUACGAAUGGACACUUUGCCCGGAAUGUUGCUCAUGUUGACUAUCGGAGUAUGACCCCAACCGUGAAUGUAUGCUCAUCUGUGGGCCUAGUCGAGAGUGCAUGCUCCUCCGCGCGCUAAGACGGGAAUGUACACUGCCCAAACGUUCAACUUGUAGCUGGUCGAGUGGCUGCUUGCCGAGACGCUGCUGGAAAGGUUCGUCUGCCCUUAUCCUACUUCGGGAUACCUCGUCUGGGGCACAUUGGAUCCCGAUGCGUUGCAAAAGUUGAUUCACCAAGGUUGUCUGUUGUGCAAGGGCGCUCGUCAACUCUAUGACUUGUCGAGACAAGUGUUGUUCGCCAUUUGGAUUAGAAGAGCUUGGAAGGAAUGCGCCUCAUUUGGCAGUAGAAUAGUGGUAGACUCCGGGCGCUAGAUUUGAGUUGGGAAAUGUUAAAUCCACGAAAAAUGUGGUGAGAAGGCCCCCGGCUCGAUGGUAGGUCCAGAUGGUUGAGAUAAUCUUGGGCCGACUUGGGCUGCUUGGAAAGCCACAGGAUCAGGCUGGGCCACGAGAGCAGGCUGGGCCGUGAGAGUGGGCUACUCGACUGAAGCUGGCUGGGCCACGGGAGUGGGCUGCUCGUAGGGAGCAGGCUGGGUCACGAGAGCAGGCUCCUCGGCAGGAGCAGGUUGGGCCAUGAGAGUGGGCUGCUCGACGGGAGCAGGCUGGGCCACGAGAGUGGGCUGCUCGACGAAAGCAGGCUGGACCACGGGAAUGGGCUGCUCGUCGGGAGCAGGCUGGGUCACGAGAGUAGGCUGCUUGGCAGGAACAGGCUGGGCCGCGAGAGCAGGUUGCUUGGUGAGGCUUGGGUCACGAGAGUGGGCUGCUCGACGGAAGCAGGCUGCUUAGUAUGUGAUGCAUGCGAAUGCGAGGCUUGGGCCUGGGCCCGUGCAAACUUAGAUGGCACGACUUGGGCCGUGGCCUUGGUGCCGUGAGCCUUGGAUGGCAUGGCUCGAGCCGUGGUGAAGGCACCAUGGACCUCGCCACGGGUGGCUACCGAGGUAGCCACCGUGGUGGUUCCCAUGGUGGAAACUCGUGGUGGUGGUGCUGCUCCAUUUAUUGUCGCAUUUAGCCUCACGGAUCUCCGUAAUCCCAUUUCUUGAACAUUAGAAUUUUCACUUGUGGAAUUUUCUAAAUUUCUAGCCAUUAUAUUUUGCUUAUACGUUUUAUCAAAAAACCUUUGCAAAUAAAAAAUUCUAAUAAUAAGAACGUAUGAAAAAUAUUCAAAUGGACUAGAAAAUAAAGAAAAAACCUUUUUGUGCGAGAGUCUUCUACGAGUAUGGAUUUCAACUCUCAAUGAAAGCACCAAUUUUGUGAUGCAAAUUUCCGCCUCUUCUUCUUGGACAAAUUGCACCUACAAAAACAAUUAACACCUUAGGUCAAGGCCAAAAGCCUCACGCGCCCACAAUGAAUGGGGGAGCUUUAGCCGAAGAACCUCCGAUGCCAAAGUUAGAAUUUAGAGAGAAAGAGUGUUUAGAGAAUUUUGAAGAUUUUUGCCAAAAGUGUUGGAAUUGGCUUUUUGGUGAGAAUGAGAGUAUAUUUUAGGGAUAAGAGUGGCUAGGGUUUUUGGGUUUAAUUAGAUUUUAAUUAGGAGUUACAAAAUAAUUAGCCAAUAACUCCUAAUUAACUUGGCUAAUUAUUUGUCAUACAAAGGAAAAAAGGUAGAAGGAAAAGCUGAUUUCUUUUGGGGAUGAAAGUUAACCGGCCUUUUUGUGGGAGUUAAGGUAAAGUGAAUGGUCUAAAUGCUAAUU